This 477-nucleotide ribosomal RNA is filed under the name uncultured Burkholderia sp. RNAcentral's name for it is "bacterial SSU rRNA". It matches the Rfam family "Bacterial small subunit ribosomal RNA", at positions 54 to 524 of the family's 1533-position model. The record is from RNAcentral. Lineage: Bacteria; Pseudomonadati; Pseudomonadota; Betaproteobacteria; Burkholderiales; Burkholderiaceae.
CAUGCAAGUUGAACGGCAGCACGGGUGCUUUGACCUGGUGGCGAGUGGCGAACGGGUGUGGAAUACAUCGCAACAUGUCCUGGAGUGGGUGAUAGCCCGGCGAAAGCCGGAUUAAUACCGCAUACGAUCUACGGAUGAAAGCGGGGGAUCUUCGGACCUCGCGCUAUAGGAGCGGCCGAUGGCGGAUUAGCUAGUUGGUGAGGUAAAGGCUGACCAAGGCGACGAUCCGUAGCUGGUCUGAGAGGACGACCAGCCACACUGGGACUGAGACACGGCCCAGACUCCUACGGGAGGCAGCAGUGGGGAAUUUUGGACAAUGGGCGAAAGCCUGAUCCAGCAAUGCCGCGUGUGUGAAGAAGGCCUUCGGGUUGUAAAGCACUUUUGUCCGGAAAGAAAUCCCUGGUUCUAAUAUUGCCGGGGGAUGACGGUACCGGAAGAAUAAGCACCGGCUAACUACGUGCCAGCAGCCGCGGUAAU